AGCUGAUGCAGCAUGCGCGUGUUGAGAGUCUCGAUGUAAGUACUUCAGCGGGAGGAGCGUAGCUAUACCUCAGUGAUGACGUACGGCAGAUGAGCACGCUACUCCGUGCCAGCAGCCGCGGUAUCCGGAGGGUGCAGCGUUAUCGGAUUACUGGGCGUAAGCGCACUCAGUCGUCUUCAAGUCGAAUGUGAAAUCCCCGGGCUCACCUGGAACUGCAUUCGAACUGGCAGCUAGAGUCUGUAGAGGGGGUAGAAUUCCAGUGGUAGCGGUGAAAUGCGUAGAGAUGUAGAGGACUACCGGUGGCGAAGGCGGCCCCUUGGACAAUGACUGACGCUCAGGUGCGAAAGCGUGGGGAGCAACCAGGAUUAGAUACCUUGUUAGUCCACGCGGUAAACGAUGUAGACUUGGAGGUUGUGCCCUUGAGGCGUGGCUUCCGGAGCUAACGCGUUAAGUCGACCGCCUGGGGAGUACGGCCGCAAGGUUAAAACUCAAAUGAAUUGACGGGGGCCCGCACAAGCGGUGGACCAUGUGGUUUAAUUGGAUGCAACGGGAAGACCUUUACAUACUCUUGACAUCCAGAGAAUUUACCAGAGAUGAUUUGGUCCUUUCGGGAAUUUUGAGCCAGGUGCUCCAUGGCUGUCGUCAGUUCGUGUUGUGAAAUGUUGGGUUAAGUCCCGCAACGAGCCCAACCUUUAUCCUUUGUUGCCACCGGUUAGGCCGGGCACUCAAAGGAGACUGCCAGUGAUAAACUGGAGGAAGGUGGGGAUGACGUCAAGUCAUCAUGGCCCUUACGAGUAGGGCUACACACGUGCUACAAUGGCGCAUACAAAGAGAAGCCACCUCGCGAGAGCAAGCGGACCUCAUAAAGUGCGUCGUAGUCCGGAUUGGAGUCUGCAACUCGACUCCGUGAAGUCGGAAUCGCUAGUAAUCGUGGAUCAGAAUGCCACGGUGAAUACGUUCCCGGGCCUUGUACACACCGCCCGUCACACCAUGGGAGUGGGUUGCACACAAGAAGUAGGUAGUCUAACCUUCGGGAGACGCUACCACGGUGGAUCUUG
This 1058-nucleotide ribosomal RNA is filed under the name Leclercia adecarboxylata. RNAcentral's name for it is "bacterial SSU rRNA". It matches the Rfam family "Bacterial small subunit ribosomal RNA", at positions 381 to 1471 of the family's 1533-position model. The record is from RNAcentral. Lineage: Bacteria; Pseudomonadati; Pseudomonadota; Gammaproteobacteria; Enterobacterales; Enterobacteriaceae.